GAGUUUGAUCCUGGCUCAGAACGUACGCUGGCGGCACGCCUAACACAUGCAAGUCGAACGAAGUAGCAAUACUUAGUGGCAGACGGGUGAGUAACAUGUAGGUAUCUGCCCUUUGGCCUGGAAUGACACGAGGAAACUUGUGCUAAUACCGGAUAAGUCUUUACGGAGAAAGCUUUAUGCACCAUUGGAUGAGCCUGCACUUGAUUAGUUUGUUGGUGGGGUAAUGGCCUACCAAGACUGUGAUCAAUAGCUGAUUUGAGAGGAUGAUCAGCCACAUUGGGACUGAGACACGGCCCAAACUCCUACGGGAGGCAGCAGUGGGGAAUCUUGCACAAUGGAGGAGACUCUGAUGCAGCGAUGCCGCGUGAGUGAAGAAGGCCCUUGGGUUGUAAAGCUCUUUCGUCGGGGAAGAAAAUGACUGUACCCGAAUAAGAAGGUCCGGCUAACUUCGUGCCAGCAGCCGCGGUAAUACGAAGGGACCUAGCGUAGUUCGGAAUUACUGGGCUUAAAGAGUUCGUAGGUGGUUGAAAAAGUUAGUGGUGAAAUCCCAGAGCUUAACUCUGGAACUGCCAUUAAAACUUUUCAGCUAGAGUAUGAUAGAGGAAAGCAGAAUUUCUAGUGUAGAGGUGAAAUUCGUAGAUAUUAGAAAGAAUACCAAUUGCGAAGGCAGCUUUCUGGAUCAUUACUGACACUGAGGAACGAAAGCAUGGGUAGCGAAGAGGAUUAGAUACCCUCGUAGUCCAUGCCGUAAACAAUGUGUGUUAGACGUUGGAAAUUUAUUUCAGUGUC
This 789-nucleotide ribosomal RNA is filed under the name uncultured bacterium. Its description in RNAcentral is "bacterial SSU rRNA". It matches the Rfam family "Bacterial small subunit ribosomal RNA", at positions 9 to 847 of the family's 1533-position model. The record is from RNAcentral.